This 305-nucleotide unclassified non-coding RNA is filed under the name plant metagenome. RNAcentral's name for it is "partial contains 5.8S ribosomal RNA, internal transcribed spacer 2, and large subunit ribosomal RNA". The stretch from base 1 to 105 matches the Rfam family "5.8S ribosomal RNA", at positions 50 to 154 of the family's 154-position model. The record is from RNAcentral.
GAAAUGCGAUAAGUAAUGUGAAUUGCAGAAUCUCGUGAAUCAUCGAAUCUUUGAACGCACAUUGCGCCCGCCAGUAUUCUGGCGGGCAUGCCUGUUCGAGCGUCAUUUCAACCAUCAAGCCCCCGGCUUGUGUUGGGGACCUGCGGCUGCCCGCAGGCCCUGAAAAACAGUGGCGGGCUCGCUGUCACACCGAGCGUAGUAGCAUACAUUCUCGCUCAGGGCGUGCUGCGGGUUCCGGCCGUUAAACGACCUUCAUAACCCAAGGUUGACCUCGGAUCAGGUAGGAAGACCCGCUGAACUUAAGC